RNAcentral lists this ribosomal RNA (254 nucleotides) under uncultured bacterium. Its description in RNAcentral is "partial 16S ribosomal RNA". It matches the Rfam family "Bacterial small subunit ribosomal RNA", at positions 524 to 776 of the family's 1533-position model. The record is from RNAcentral.
UACGUAGGGGGCUAGCGUUGUCCGGAAUCAUUGGGCGUAAAGAGCUCGUAGGCGGCUCACUAAGUCGGGUGUGAAAUUUCGAGGCUCAACCUCGAAACGCCACCCGAUACUGGUGUGGCUAGAGUCCGGUAGGGGAGCGUGGAAUUCCUGGUGUAGCGGUGAAAUGCGCAGAUAUCAGGAGGAACACCAGCGGCGAAGGCGGCGCUCUGGGCCGGUACUGACGCUGAGGAGCGAAAGCGUGGGGAUCAAACAGG